This 315-nucleotide ribosomal RNA is filed under the name uncultured Phacidiopycnis. RNAcentral's name for it is "partial large subunit ribosomal RNA". It matches the Rfam family "Eukaryotic large subunit ribosomal RNA", at positions 40 to 350 of the family's 3401-position model. Lineage: Eukaryota; Fungi; Ascomycota; Leotiomycetes; Rhytismatales; Rhytismataceae. The record is from RNAcentral.
AUAUCAAUAAGCGGAGGAAAAGAAACCAACAGGGAUUGCCUCAGUAACGGCGAGUGAAGCGGCAACAGCUCAAAUUUGAAAUCUGGCUUCCUUUGGGUGCCCGAAUUGUAAUUUGUAGAGGGCUUCUCGGGUGCGACACCGGUCUAAGUUCCUUGGAACAGGGCGUCAUAGAGGGUGAGAAUCCCGUACGUGACCGGCCGUCAAUCCCAUGUGAGAUCCCUUCGAAGAGUCGAGUUGUUUGGGAAUGCAGCUCAAAUCGGGUGGUAAAUUUCAUCUAAAGCUAAAUAUUGGCCAGAGACCGAUAGCGCACAAGUA